This 460-nucleotide ribosomal RNA is filed under the name uncultured bacterium. RNAcentral's name for it is "partial 16S ribosomal RNA". It matches the Rfam family "Bacterial small subunit ribosomal RNA", at positions 338 to 795 of the family's 1533-position model. The record is from RNAcentral.
CCUACGGGGGGCAGCAGUGAGGAAUAUUGGUCAAUGGGCGUAAGCCUGAACCAGCCAAGUCGCGUGAGGGAUGAAGGUUCUAUGGAUCGUAAACCUCUUUUAUAAGGGAAUAAAGUGUGGGACGUGUCCUGUUUUGUAUGUACCUUAUGAAUAAGGAUCGGCUAACUCCGUGCCAGCAGCCGCGGUAAUACGGAGGAUCCGAGCGUUAUCCGGAUUUAUUGGGUUUAAAGGGUGCGUAGGCGGACUUUUAAGUCAGCGGUGAAAGUUUGUGGCUCAACCGUAGAAUUGCCGUUGAAACUGGGAGGAUUGAGUAUGGUUGAGGCAGGGGGAAUGCGUGGGGUAGCGGUGAAAUGCUUAGAUAGCACGCAGAACCCCGAUUGCGAAGGCAGCCUGCCAAGCCAUGACUGACGCUGAUGCACGAAAGCGUGGGGAUCAAACAGGAUUAGAUACCCGGGUAGUC